This is a non-coding RNA of Miniopterus natalensis, 1762 nucleotides long. Lineage: Eukaryota; Metazoa; Chordata; Mammalia; Chiroptera; Miniopteridae. The record is from RefSeq and is a predicted model, not a curated record.
UCUGGAUUCCAUCACAAAGGCCGCAGGAUGCCAAUGGAGGACUCUUGGCUUCUAUGUCCUUGUAGUGCCCGGCCGGCGCAAUUUUGGAAACAUAGUAGGUGGUUCUUAAUUACUUCAUCUCCCCCCAAAAUUACUGCACUUCCCUAAAGAGCUCAGGAAAGACCUCCCUGAGAAGGUGACAUUUAAGAUUUGAGAGAGGGCAGAGUGACUGGUACCCCUGGGCAUGGUUGGUUCAUCGGCCCCUCAGAGGUGGGCCGUGACAGCAGCGGUGGCCCAACUUCCAUCUUCUACUUUCUUUCCCCAGUGCCCACCCCUGGGACUCAGCAGAUGAGCACAGACUGUGUGUUUGGACUUCGAGGGGUUACAGAGUUGGGAGGGACUCAGGCCCUGCCCUAGAAUCACCUACAAUCCCUGGAGGAGAAAGCUGAGCCAACACUUGACUUCUGCACCCAGUGGAACCCAGAAAGCACCCCUGCCGGGGUCUCCCAGCUGCGGGAGGGCACGGAGCCAGGAGCUCCUGCUGUCUCCUUCGGGAUUGAGGAGGAAGCUCUGUUCACUGCUCUCCACAAGCUCUGGCUUCCUUCCCUCCGGGAGGAGUGGCUGCUCCCUGGCUCUGUGGAGCUGACCCUCUGCAGUGUCCUUGCUGCCGGCUGACACUGCUGGGGUUCACCCACCAGGACAAAGAAGCCCAGGGAGAAAAUUGAGGAUCAGAGGAAAGCUAGUAGGGAUUCAUUCACAGAGUGUCUGCGUGUGCCAGGCGGUGUUCCGGAAGCUUAUGGCACAUGAGUGAGCAAAACAGGAAAAGAACUUCAUCCCUGAGGAGCUGACAUGCUGGCAUCAGGAGUCAGACACAACACUGCUUUGAGGGAGUCCAGCAUCCCCUCCAUUUGACAGAUGAGCAAACUGAGACCUGGUGACUAAAGAGACUUUGCCAAGGUCACACAGCUGUGGCGAGGUGACCCGGGGACUCAGACCUGUCGGCUGGAAGCCCUCUUAACCUCAUCCGCCAGGAGGAGGCCAAGGAAUGUGGCUUCUCCACACUUCCCGUCACCACCAUACUUGGCCAAGUGGGACAGGCCCAAGGCCCAAAGGACUGAGCCACACAGAGUUGCACUGGACCCAGCUGGGGUGAAAGCCACACUCCGGUGUCUGGAAGCAAGUGACCCUCAUGCCGUGCUCGGGCUAAACUGGAAGCAAACAUGGGACUCUGGGCCUCAGGACAACUGAAGCAUUUUAAAAAAUUAUUUGUCUAACCAUCUGAAAACCAAGGCCAAUUUGUGUAAGGUGUUGUCAGAAACAGACUCCCGUCAGCUUCUGACAAUCCCCACAGACGCAAAUUUUCAAGGGCCCAGCGUGGAGGGUCUGAAAGACCCGUGGACUGGGGCCAGGGAGACCUGGGCUCUUCUCCAAGACCUACUAACUCCUACCCACUGUGUGCCCUUAUAGGAGCCCCAGCCCUCUCUGGACCUCAGUUUCCUCAUCUGUAAGUGAGGUGGUGAACUCACCUGUCCCCCAACGUGCCUUUUCCACUCUGGCUUUCAUGCCCCAGGUCUGCGGGACUGAUGGAGUGCAAGUCCACAUAAUUUUUUUUAAAUGCACUUAUUAAGCACCUACUCUGUGUCAGCUCCUGUACACAUAGCCUAAGAUUACCUCAGUUCAGCUCCAUGAAAGAGAAACAGAAUCAUCCCAUUUUGUAGAGGGGGAAGCUGAGCUCUCGAGGUGUGAUAUCACAGCUGGGAUUCCCAUUUCACAGAGCAGGACA